This 487-nucleotide ribosomal RNA is filed under the name uncultured bacterium. RNAcentral describes it as "partial 16S ribosomal RNA". It matches the Rfam family "Bacterial small subunit ribosomal RNA", at positions 28 to 507 of the family's 1533-position model. The record is from RNAcentral.
GAUGAACGCUAGCGAUAGGCUUAACACAUGCAAGUCGAGGGGCAGCACAAGGUAGCUUGCUAUCUGGGUGGCGACCGGCGCACGGGUGCGUAACGCGUAUGCAACUUGCCCUAUACAGGAGGAUAACCCGUCGAAAGACGGACUAAUACUGCGUAUGCUCACAACUUGGCAUCAAGUGGUGAGGAAAGAAAUUCGGUAUAGGAUAGGCAUGCGUCCCAUUAGCUUGUUGGUGAGGUAACGGCUCACCAAGGCAACGAUGGGUAGGGGAACUGAGAGGUUUAUCCCCCACACUGGUACUGAGACACGGACCAGACUCCUACGGGAGGCAGCAGUGAGGAAUAUUGGUCAAUGGGCGCGAGCCUGAACCAGCCAAGUCGCGUGAAGGGUGACUGUCUUAUGGAUUGUAAACUUCUUUUAUACGGGAAUAACAAGAGUCACGUGUGACUCCCUGCAUGUACCGUAUGAAUAAGCAUCGGCUAACUCCGUG